GAUCUGAAAUCAGGUAGGGCUACCCGCUGAACUUAAGCAUAUCAAUAAGCGGAGGAAAAGAAACUAACAAGGAUUCCCCUAGUAACGGCGAGUGAAGCGGGAAGAGCUCAAAUUUAAAAUCUGGUUUGCUUUGCAAAUCCGAGCUGUAGUCUGAAGAAACGUUUUCCAUGAAAGCUGAGGCACAAGUCCUUUGGAACAGGGCAUCAUAGAGGGUGAGAAUCCCGUCCAUGGUCUCAAGCCUUUCAUUUUGUGAUACGUUUUCUAAGAGUCAGGUUGUUUGGGAAUGCAGCCUAAAAUGGGUGGUAAAUUUCAUCUAAAGCUAAAUAUUGGCGAGAGACCGAUAGCGAACAAGUACCGUGAGGGAAAGAUGAAAAGAACUUUGAAAAGAGAGUUAAAAAGUACGUGAAAUUGUUGAAAGGGAACCGUUUGAAGCCAG
Molecule: ribosomal RNA, 436 nt
Filed under: uncultured fungus
Lineage: Eukaryota; Fungi
Description: eukaryotic LSU rRNA
Rfam family: Eukaryotic large subunit ribosomal RNA
Source: RNAcentral